CCCUCCUCCCAGGGGGAAGGAAAUGGCUGCAAUGGAGCUGGCUCAGGUCAUUGAUAAGAAUGUUAAAUAGCAGAAGGCCAAGAACCAAUCAUUGUGGGAAUCCCCUAGAAAGAAAUCUACUCAAGCAUGGUUCCCCAUUUACAAUAAUAGUUUGUAAUCUAUUUAAUGUAUGCCGUGUUUAUUUUGUAUCUUUGUAGGAACGUUACACUUCUUAAACACUAAGGGGGUAGGAAUGCCGCCCCCGGAUUUAGAGCGGCUGAAGUGGUUCCCACACCCCCACACUUCCGGUCAGGAGACACACUGAUUAAGUGCCGAUUAGGAGUGUAUCUCUGGAGUACGCAGUGCAUAAAGCACCAAUCAGGAGAGGGGGCGAGACGUUGGCUUGAGUUUGUACAUGCGUAUAAUAGAAUGAUUUAUGUAACCAACUAUAAUAAAUAGACGUGGACAGCCCAGUUGGGGCGGGUCCACGGGAACAGACUGACAGACUUGGCUUCAUUCAUUGCUACAUCUGGUGACCCCGACGUGAUUCCCCCUGCUCACCGUCUGGAAUAGCCUCCGAUGCAUCGACCCUCGCUGAAUAGCCCCGUUUCAAUUUUACAGCCACUGAAUGACAUUUAAGACGGAAACCCCGCUCCCAUGCCCAUCUGUCAAAUAUAGGCAGAGCCCAGACCCUAAUUGGUAUGGCCCCGUUCCAUUGAGAACCUGGGGACGGGGGCAUGCCGCUGUGCUUACUCCCACAGGUCCGUUGUGGGUCCCUGCCAAGAAUGUGCGACCGUGGCACAAUGACGUGGCAUCAAAGCCUCAAGAACCCGAUACCCAACUUUAAUCUGAAUCUAACCGAGACCUUUCCAGUGUGCCGAGCCACAAAGACGGCACCAAAGGUUACCUGGGGGCAGGUGAAACGACUGGCGCAGCAGGCUCAGCAAACGCUGGAGAAUAACAAGUCCAAGCCUACCCCCGAGAAUUUUACUGUUGCUAUCUUUGCUUGUUUGAUUGCUAAUUCUUUUACCAUAUUGUUGUGUUGUUUUUGUGUGUUACAGGCUAGGGCCGAACCCGAAUUGCAUAGCCGCAUGCGUUAUAAUAUAUGGGCUCGACUUGCGAUUCUUGCCAAUUAAUCCUCCUUUUGUUUACAGCAGGCCCCUGAGAUGCAUGGCCUGUUGGGCACCUGCCUGGUCCCAGUAUAUAAGGCACCAGGCGAUGCUGCACAUGCAACGGGGAUGUUUAAUUUUAUAAAUGCCACCGAGAUUUAAUAUUCUUUUAUGAGCCUAUGGGGCCAAGCCACUUAUGUGAAACCUGCAAGUGCCUUGUUUCUCUUUACCCCACGGGUAGCCAAUCACGCCAAUUUGACCUGUGCACGGAUGGUUAAUUGCACACAUCACAGGCCCCCAAAAGGAUGUUUGCGGGUGGGUACCCCAAAAUGGAAUUGUACGCGCUUUUAAAAUGUGUCCAGCAAUUACGGGCACAUCAUGUUACCAGAGGGUUGGUUUUUUACAUGUGGUCAGAGGACCUUUAAUUAUAUUCCGGCCAAUAUUUCAGAAGCUCAAUGUUGCCUAAGCAGACUCACAUUGAUACUCCCCACGAGGUCAAUGUUGACUGAUUCCCAAAUUAAUGAGACCCGCACCCGAUGCCGGCGAAGCUUAACCCCCAUGAGAUCAGGAUGUAAUGCCAAUGUCAGCCUUUUUAGUUGGGCUGAGUACAUCUUUUUGGCUGCCAUCCAUGGGAUGGGUUUGAAUUGUUUUGUAAUAUGCUUUGAUUGUUAUCGCCUGCUUGAUUGGUUUUUGUUGCUUAGCUCAGUGUAUUCCUAACAUAAUUGGGCUGUGUUUUACACCCUGUCGGCGCAAACCCCUGCCUAUAUUCCAAGCCGUCAUGUAUGCCCAUAGAAUCAUGAAACAUGCGGAUCAGGCACGGGUCGACAAAACAGAAAAGGAGGGGAUGUAGGAACGUUACACUUCUUAAACACUAAGGGGGUAGGAAUGCCGCCCCCGGAUUUAGAGCGGCUGAAGUGGUUCCCACACCCCCACACUUCCGGUCAGGAGACACACUGAUUAAGUGCCGAUUAGGAGUGUAUCUCUGGAGUACGCAGUGCAUAAAGCACCAAUCAGGAGAGGGGGCGAGACGUUGGCUUGAGUUUGUACAUGCGUAUAAUAGAAUGAUUUAUGUAACCAACUAUAAUAAAUAGACGUGGACAGCCCAGUUGGGGCGGGUCCACGGGAACAGAC
Mauremys mutica (yellowpond turtle) is the source of this 2219-nucleotide long non-coding RNA. RefSeq lists it as uncharacterized. The transcript has 3 exons. The record is from RefSeq and is a predicted model, not a curated record. Lineage: Eukaryota; Metazoa; Chordata; Testudines; Geoemydidae.